RNAcentral lists this transfer RNA (142 nucleotides) under Candidatus Woesearchaeota archaeon. RNAcentral describes it as "tRNA-Cys". Lineage: Archaea; Nanobdellati; Candidatus Woesearchaeota. The record is from RNAcentral.
GCGCCCGUGGCCCAGCGGCUAAGGCUAUCGCCUGCAGAGCGAUCAUUCAAGGGUUCGAGCGGCAAGCAAUCUAUGCAAGUUGGGCGGACAUGAAGUCCACCAUGAAAAUUAGAUUGAAGUUAUGAAAAUCCCUUCGGGCGCU